UACGCAGGUCCCGAGCGUUGUCCGGAUUUAUUGGGCGUAAAGCGAGCGCAGGUGGUUUAUUAAGUCUGGUGUAAAAGGCAGUGGCUCAACCAUUGUAUGCAUUGGAAACUGGUAGACUCGAGUGCAGGAGAGGAGAGUGGAAUUCCAUGUGUAGCGGUGAAAUGCGUAGAUAUAUGGAGGAACACCGGUGGCGAAAGCGGCUCCCUGGCCUGUAACUGACACUGAGGCUCGAAAGCGUGGGGAGCAAACAGG
Molecule: ribosomal RNA, 252 nt
Filed under: uncultured bacterium
Lineage: Bacteria
Description: partial 16S ribosomal RNA
Rfam family: Bacterial small subunit ribosomal RNA
Source: RNAcentral